This 465-nucleotide ribosomal RNA is filed under the name uncultured Klebsiella sp. Its description in RNAcentral is "bacterial SSU rRNA". It matches the Rfam family "Bacterial small subunit ribosomal RNA", at positions 338 to 795 of the family's 1533-position model. Lineage: Bacteria; Pseudomonadati; Pseudomonadota; Gammaproteobacteria; Enterobacterales; Enterobacteriaceae. The record is from RNAcentral.
CCUACGGGUGGCAGCAGUGGGGAAUAUUGCACAAUGGGCGCAAGCCUGAUGCAGCCAUGCCGCGUGUGUGAAGAAGGCCUUCGGGUUGUAAAGCACUUUCAGCGGGGAGGAAGGCGUUAAGGUUAAUAACCUUGUCGAUUGACGUUACCCGCAGAAGAAGCACCGGCUAACUCCGUGCCAGCAGCCGCGGUAAUACGGGGGGUGCAAGCGUUAAUCGGAAUUACUGGGCGUAAAGCGCACGCAGGCGGUCUGUCAAGUCGGAUGUGAAAUCCCCGGGCGCAACCUGGGAACUGCAUUCGAAACUGGCAGGCUAGAGUCUUGUAGAGGGGGGUAGAAUUCCAGGUGUAGCGGUGAAAUGCGUAGAGAUCUGGAGGAAUACCGGUGGCGAAGGCGGCCCCCUGGACAAAGACUGACGCUCAGGUGCGAAAGCGUGGGGAGCAAACAGGAUUAGAUACCCGAGUAGUC